Long non-coding RNA from Melospiza melodia melodia, 2664 nucleotides. RefSeq lists it as uncharacterized. The transcript has 2 exons. The record is from RefSeq and is a predicted model, not a curated record. NCBI's taxonomy places the organism in Eukaryota, Metazoa, Chordata, Aves, Passeriformes, Passerellidae.
GAAAAAGAAACCCGCUCCGGCCUCCAAGUAUUUCACAAAGAUAAAGCAGUCUAAAAAGCAAAUAUGCAGAGAAGUGACUGCUUUCAAACACUGCAGUCUGGGAAGAGUUCCUCGAGCCCAGUGGUUGUGCCUCAUUUCCCUGCUGCCUCCCCACUCCCAAGCCUGGUGCAGGAAGAGUUAAUAGGUUUAAAGGGAGUUUUUUUUUCCCUGUAGCUUUGUCAGAGUGAAAGUGAAACAGCUCUGGUAGCCAGUGUGGGGCUUCUCCUGCACCCCCACCCUCUAGUGAAGGUCACCCAGUGAAAACAGGCUCCUGCCAAAGGUGAAUGCUCUUCCAGAGGGGAAAAUGGUGCAGGGUUAGAGGGAUCCUCUGACAGUCAGUAUCCAUCCCCCACGCAGAAUCCCUGCUGUGUAUGGACUAGCAUGGGGAGGAGGUGGACCCUGAGAUUCCCACACACAGCUUUCAGCAGGCUGGUGAGGGCCCUGCCUUCCAUCCUGGCUCAUGGUCACUCUGUGGCUCUCCAGCAGGGUCAGCACAGCUCUGCUGCUCAGGAAAACCCACUGCAGCAGCCAAGGAGGGAACAGCGCUGACUACAGGGGACCAGGUGGCCAAAAGUCCAUGUGGAUGUAUCGAAGCUGCUAGGAAGUGGGGAGCCAUCCCUUGGCUGCAAGGACUGAGCCUGGGAGACAAGAGAUGCAGCCUUUGUUUGUGUGUCCACCCCACAGCACCAGGCCCAGCAGUCACCCAGCUGUGUUUGGCCAGUGAGGACGGGAAGUGCCUGGGAGCAAUCAGAGUGCCCUGUCCUCAGGCACUGACACUGCCCUGCUCCCUCCUACCACUGCUCCCAACACCCAUAGUCACAGCUGCUCAACUUCUUUCCCUUGUCACAGACUUUUGUACUGUGCUAUCAAUAAAUCAAUUCCCUGUUUACCUUCUCCAGAACUUCCUAGAGAUCAUGUCAUCCCAGCAGUGGCACCAUUUGAGAGAGAUGUGAAGACUAGUCUGACCUGCUCCAACACAGAAAUUCCUCUCCCAAACACACAUUUCUCCAGGCACUGGCAAAGCUGAGAUGGCCCCUCCAGCAUCACCUCCUGCCUCAGCAUCAGCUCAGCCCCAGUGCAGGCACAGCCACCAAGAGCUGUCCUGGCAGAGCCCAUCUCUGGGAGUGCCCAUCUCACCAAGGCACCAGGCAGGCGUCAAGGGCAGAGAGACAAGUCCUUCAUCCUGCCCAGACCUCCUCACACCUCAUCUACCCAGCUUGGGGAUCAAAGCCUCUGAGUCACUCCACAUCUUCCUGGUCCCCAGGCUGUCUUUCUGGUAUGCUGUCACACCCCUUCUCUCUGCCCUCCUCUACCCUUUCACUUCUUCAACUUUUAUUUGACUCCAUGAGGUUCUGAGGGAGCAAACAGCUCAUUUCCUUCAGAGGAAAAGAGAUUUUAUGACUGAAGGUGAAGCAACAGAACAAAGCUGUAGCAGAACAAGUCUGUAGCAAGUGCACAGGCACAAGAAAGCAGCCAUGCCCCAAGGAGCUGGGCACACAUGUGGACUCAAAGUUGAGCUGGAGGCUGAAGCUACUGGAGAGCUCUAGCAAAAAAUGCUUCCCCCUGUUGGAGCUGCUGGGGCUCACACUCUCCUUGCUGAUGUCACAUUGCUCCUGUGUCACAUCGCUCCUGCGUCUCCCUGUGACCCAGCAGGGAACAGCAAGCCAUACCUGCAGUUUAGCGAGUUAUGACACAUCAGUGCAGCCAGCACACCCGGCCCUGGGUCUGUGUGCCUUUGGCUCACCUGUUUCCUGUCACUUGUGUGACAAGAGCAGCACACGGCCAGCUGCUGGGUUGUUCAGAUGUAACAACUUGCUGGCUACUCUGCUGCUCCAGGCAACACAAUAUCACUGACCCUUCUCCUCCUCUGCAGAGCAAGAGACAUCCCAAGGACAAGAGAGGGAUGUUAUUGCUGCUGUCUUCAUCACUGACCUCUUCACUGAGCUCUGGAGAGGAACAGAUAAACCAAAGCCUCAGCAACGUCAAAGGGCUUCAGAAGAGAGGACACCUUAGUGCCACUCACCUGCAGUGCUUUGCCUCCUGUCCCUUGACACAUCCUGCUCAGAAAAGCCAGCCCUGUCCAAAUAUUAACAGAGUGCUUGGUUGCUAUGGGAGGGGGAGGGCUGCCCUUGGUGGAGGAGCUGAGUGACCAUUCAGGGAUGGACUCACAGAAAAACACAUCUUCAUCCAGGGAGGGCAGCCUGGGCAGCCUCAGCUCUGCUGCAUGGCUGUGUUACAGGCAACAGGCACACACUUUGAGAAAUGCCUCUUCUCUGGUUGCAGAGAAAAAUACAAGGCAUAGAGGUGUGUUUGUACAACUCCAUAUAUGAUGUGGAAAUGUAGGUACCUGCAUGUAUGUGUACAUGUUGUAAGUAGAUAUACUACAUGUAUGUAGAUGUGUACCUGCAGAUGUAUAGAAGUUAAUGCCUACAAGCCAUUAACCAAGAUCUUUAUGUAUUUAUGCAUUUUAUGUGUGAGGCUGAGUGUAUAGGUAGGCAAAAUUCGGUAUUUCAAAAUGGUAAAUCCUCAAGCAGGGGAAGUUAUGGGUUAAACUGAUGGCAAAUCAAGCAUUCAGAAAAAUAGGACUCCCCAGGAGAAAGCUGUAAUAAAUUUUUUAUUAAUAGA